AAAGGUCUCUCUCUCUCUGUACCAAUCACAUUCAUGCUCACAGGUGAGUUAAUUCAGACUGCUUAUACAUUAUUAAUAAUAAUAUAUUGGAUUCAUAUAGCUCAAGUUGUACUUAAAACAGGAAGGAGUAUGUCAGAACAUCUUGGGAGUGUGAGAACCGAGCUGUACACUCUUACUUUCACUUCUGUUCUGAUGUAAUGCACUGUCACUCACUCACUCACUCACUCACUCACUCACUCACUCACUCACUCACUCACUCACUCACUCACUCACUCACUCACUCACUCACUCACUCACUCACUCACUCACUCACUCACUCACUCACUCACUCACUCACUCACGCUCCCUCUGUGUUGUUCAGGCCCUGUUAAAGCCAAUCGACAGUCACCUGAAAACAACGUAAAUUCAUCAUCUGUAGCUUUGUCUCACACGUCUCACAAAUACCCUCACACAUGAUGUCCUUUGUUUAACCAUAACAUCACCGGGGGCAAACUACCAGCCCUCCAGGACACCUACAGCACCCAAUGUCACAGGAAGACCAAAUAUCAUCAAGGACAUCAACCACACGAGCUAAGGCCUAUACACCCCGCUACCAUCCAGAAGGCGAGAUCAUGAACAUUUCCGGAUAACGAGAUACAUUGACACCAAUUACUGUGGAACAUGAACCAAUUGGACUACAUUAUCUAUGGAUAGGGUGAUGGAGCUGGAUGCUGAUGAAAACCUUCACAAAUUCCUCUUUUUGGAUGAAGCAGGCUUCAACCUGGCCAAGACAAGGAGGAGAGGUUGGAAUCUCAUUGGCCAGCGGGCAACCAACCAAGUACCUGGACAACAUGGGGCCAACAUCACCAUGUGUGCGGCUAUAUCAGAAGACGGUGUGGUGGGACGCAGACCUCGUAUUGGAUCAUAUAAAGCAGCUCUCCUUGUGUAACCUUCUUGAUGAGAUAAAUCGGGUCUGUAGAGCUGAUGUCGUGACCUAUGUCAUUGCGUGGGUUAAUGUCAGGUUCUACCAUGCUCAAAUGGUGCAAGCACGGUUUCAGGCCCAUCCACAAUUUAUCACCCUGUACUUACCCCUAUACUCUCCUUUCCUUAACCCGAUUGAGACAUUUUUCUCCAAGUGGAGGUGAAAGGUAUAUGAUAGGCGCCCUCAGGAACAAGCCACCCUUCUCCAGGCCAUGGAUGAUGUAUGCAAUGACAUCACGGCAGACCAGUGUCAGGCCUGGAUUCACCCUGCCCGAAGAUUCUUCCCAAGAUGUUUGGCCAAUGAAAACAUCCAUUGAUGAGAACCUUUGGCCAAAUCCACAAGACAGGUUUGAUGGAAAUAUAGAAGUACAGUAAUCAAUCCUUUGUUUUGCUUUUUACAGUAAGCCAGGUGAGGAACACUGCAGUUGACAUUUUACUGUAGUGUUUUUCUUUUUUGAAGCUAAUAAUUUUUGCUUUGAUUCAAGGAGACCUGACCUAUGUUGUGAUUUUAUUGUAUUUCAUCAAUACCUUUCAGAUUUUGUUCAAUGAUUCCAAUGUGUCUGUAGUAUUCUCUUUGCUAGUCAUUUUACAGUGAUGUAUUACGUGUAGUACCAUAAUGAAACACGUAUCACAUAUUUUGUACUACAAUAUUUAAUGAUUGUAUGAACAACUACACAGUGAAACUAUUGGUAUAUUGUGUGUGGGUGAUCUAAAUUAAUGUUCCUAUGGUAUUUCAUGAUGAAAGAGUUAUUUGAACCAGUGCAAGGUUUCUUUAAAGAUAUGAAUGCACAAUACAUUGUUUUGAACAUUGGACAGCCUGUGUAACAAGUGAUGACCGUUUUGAGUUUUGUGUCUAGAGUUUUGAAAAAUGACCACAAGAUUCUGAAAUUAGUGCCAAAGGGAUUGUAAAAAACUGUAAAUAGCCAUCACUAAUUGGCUUCCACCCGGUUACGCAACCCUGCACCUUAGAGGCUGCUGCCCUAUAUACAUAUACUUGGAGUGACUGGCCACUUUAAUAAUGGAACACUAGUCACUUUAAUAAUGUUUACAUACUGCUU
Molecule: long non-coding RNA, 2018 nt
Organism: Oncorhynchus tshawytscha (Chinook salmon)
Lineage: Eukaryota; Metazoa; Chordata; Actinopteri; Salmoniformes; Salmonidae
Source: Ensembl